CACCAUUGUGUAGGGUAGGCUAAGACCAGGAGUUAUAUUACGAUUUGCUCAAUGUGCUGAGAUCACCCCAUCAUCAUUGUAAAGUCUUAUUGAUACAAGACGCUUCCUACUUAGGUUUUUCGGGAAACAAAUAAGGCUUACUUGAUUUCUAAAAUUAUAAAGGCCCACUUGUGCAACCCCUAAAUAUACUGAACUGAGGCCUGACAAUAUAAAUGAGACCAUUCCUUGUGGCAAGUCAACAAAAACAAGUAAAUAGUGGGUGAAAGUAGGUAGAUAGUAGGUAAAACUGUUUAGAAAAUGUGUGUCCUGCAACGGCAGUGUACUGUAUAUUUGCAUAUAUAUGUUAGAUCUUGGGUAGGCUACAUUCUUAUUUUGCAUGAUAUGAGAUGUGCUGUUAUGAGACAAUAGUUUGUACUUUGGUCUUUCUAGAAAACUGGAUGAACUCUGUGGUUGUUGGUUUGGGAGUGGCAUUAGGCGUGUGUGUUGCUGUGAUGACCCUUCUUAUUGCUUCACAUUUAAAGAGAUCUGUGUGUGAUCACUGCAAAGAGACAACUCCUAAUCAACUGCACUGUAACAACCCUGUGCUAGAGGCACCUCAGGGAAGUGAUGCUGAGAUGAUGACCUACUCUUCUCUGCAUUUUUCUACAAAGA
Molecule: long non-coding RNA, 651 nt
Organism: Clupea harengus (Atlantic herring)
Lineage: Eukaryota; Metazoa; Chordata; Actinopteri; Clupeiformes; Clupeidae
Source: RefSeq, a predicted model, not a curated record